UCCUUCUCACUAGAGCCUCCAUCAAAACAUGGCUGUCCUGGUGCUGUUGCUCUGCCUGGUGACACUUCCAAGCUGUGUCCUGUCCCAGGUGCAGCUGAAGGAGUCAGGACCUGGUCUGGUGAAGCCCUCAGAGACCCUGUCCCUCACCUGCACUGUCUCUGGGUUCUCACUAACCAGCUAUAGUGUAAGCUGGGUUCGCCAGCCUUCAGGAAAAGGUCCUGAGUGGAUGGGAAGAAUGUGGUAUGAUGGAGACACAGCAUAUAAUUCAGCUCUCAAAUCCCGACUGAGCAUCAGCAGGGACACCUCCAAGAACCAAGUUUUCUUAAAAAUGAACAGUCUGCAAACUGAUGACACAGGCACUUACUACUGUACCAGAGACACAGUGAGGGAAGUCCAGUGUGAACUUGCACAAAAACUUCCUACAGGGAUUCUUAGGACCAGCAGGGGGCGCAGAGGAUCAACAAGUUCUUUCCAGAAUCACUUCAAAAUCUAG
Rattus norvegicus (Norway rat) is the source of this 493-nucleotide non-coding RNA. Lineage: Eukaryota; Metazoa; Chordata; Mammalia; Rodentia; Muridae. The record is from the annotation of a RefSeq genome assembly.